UUCUUCUUUAGUGUGUCUUCUCUUAGAGUUUAGGAACUCCAAAGCCAACAAAGCUCUCCCCCUUCCAUCUGGCAGGAGUUAGAAGCAAACAGGUGUCUUGAAAAGAUGGAGCCAGAAGAUCGGGGAAUAGCUGUGGCUCUGCUGCUAUUAGUCACGUGACUGGGCAAGUAAUUCAAGGGGUUGAAGCUGCUAUAUUCCAGGUGCUGUGAACACAGUGGUGUCCUGCCAGAUGCUGUGAACACAGUGGUGUCCUGGCCACCAUGGCUGACCUGGCCCAGGCCUUCAGGUAUUUCAGAGUCUACUGAAAACUUUGCUCUUCUCAUUCCAAGCUUUCCUACUUAUGUGACUUACACCAGAUUACUUAACCUCGGUGAACCUCAGUUUUUACAUCUGUGAGGUGGGGGAGCAAUUAGAGAAGGUAACAUGACAUGUGUAAAGGGUCUGUCGCAGUAUGUGGAACUCAUGUGUCCUCAAUAAAUGUAAGCCGUCUCCCCUAAGUCA
This 501-nucleotide long non-coding RNA is filed under the name Vulpes vulpes (red fox). RNAcentral describes it as "lncRNA (ENSVVUG00000007564.1)". The record is from RNAcentral. Lineage: Eukaryota; Metazoa; Chordata; Mammalia; Carnivora; Canidae.